GAUGAAGAACGCAGCGAAAUGCGAUACGUAAUGUGAAUUGCAGAAUUCAGUGAAUCAUCGAAUCUUUGAACGCACAUUGCGCCCGCCAGCACUCUGGCGGGCAUGCCUGUUCGAGCGUCAUUUCAACCAUCAAGCCCCAGGCUUGCGUUGGAGCCCUGCGACUGCCGCAGCCUCCUAAAAGCAGUGGCGGGCUCGCUAUCACACCGAGUGCAGUAGAUUACUCUUCGCUCAGGGCGUGCAGCGGGUUCCGGCCGUGAAACCCCCUACUUUUAAAGGUUGACCUCGGAUCAGGUAGGAAUACCCGCUGAACUUAAGCAUAUCAAUAAGCGGAGGA
This 334-nucleotide unclassified non-coding RNA is filed under the name soil metagenome. RNAcentral's name for it is "partial contains 5.8S ribosomal RNA, internal transcribed spacer 2, and large subunit ribosomal RNA". The stretch from base 1 to 120 matches the Rfam family "5.8S ribosomal RNA", at positions 35 to 154 of the family's 154-position model. The record is from RNAcentral.